Molecule: ribosomal RNA, 156 nt
Filed under: Brassica napus (rape)
Lineage: Eukaryota; Viridiplantae; Streptophyta; Magnoliopsida; Brassicales; Brassicaceae
Also listed under: 1 other name
Description: rRNA 5_8S_rRNA
Rfam family: 5.8S ribosomal RNA
About the family: 5.8S ribosomal RNA (5.8S rRNA) is a component of the large subunit of the eukaryotic ribosome. It is transcribed by RNA polymerase I as part of the 45S precursor that also contains 18S and 28S rRNA. Functionally, it is thought that 5.8S rRNA may be involved in ribosome translocation.
Source: Rfam by way of RNAcentral
GACUCUCGGCAAUGGAUAUCUCGGCUCUCGCAUCGAUGAAGAACGUAGCGAAAUGUGAUACUUGGUGUGAAUUGCAGAAUCCCGUGAACCAUCGACUCUUUGAAUGCAAGUUGCACCCCAAGCCUUCUAGGCGAGGGCACGUCUGCUUGGGUGUCA